GAUGAACGCUGGCGGCGUGCCUAAUACAUGCAAGUCGAGCGAACGGACGCGACGCUUGCUUCUCUGAUGUUAGCGGCGGACGGGUGAGUAACACGUGGAUAACCUACCUAUAAGACUGGGAUAACUUCGGGAAACCGGAGCUAAUACCGGAUGAUAUUUUGUACCGCAUGGUUCAAAAGUGAAAGACGGUCUUGCUGUCACUUAUAGAUGGAUCCGCGCUGCAUUAGCUAGUUGGUAAGGUAACGGCUUACUAAGGCAACGAUGCAUAGCCGACCGGUGAGGGUGGUCGGCCACACUGGAACGGGGACACGGUCCAGGCGCCUACGGUAGGGAGCAGUAUGGAAUCUUCCGCAGUGGGCGAAAGCCUUACGGAGCAACGGGGCGUGAGUGAUGACGGUCUUCGGAGCGUAAAACUCUGUUAUGAGGGAAGAACAUAUGUGUAAGUAACUGUGCACAUCUUGACGGUAACUAAUCAGAAAGCCACGGCUAACUACGUG
Molecule: ribosomal RNA, 497 nt
Filed under: uncultured bacterium
Lineage: Bacteria
Description: partial 16S ribosomal RNA
Rfam family: Bacterial small subunit ribosomal RNA
Source: RNAcentral